AAUAUCGGUCCGGCGUCAGUGGGUUAUCAGUUUGUGAACCUCGAAGAGGAAAGUUCCAUCGGCACUAACUCGACCGUUGA
RNAcentral lists this small RNA (80 nucleotides) under Caenorhabditis brenneri. RNAcentral describes it as "snoRNA CBN34057". It matches the Rfam family "Nematode sRNA ceN72-3_ceN74-2". Lineage: Eukaryota; Metazoa; Nematoda; Chromadorea; Rhabditida; Rhabditidae. The record is from Rfam by way of RNAcentral.